ACUCAAAUGAAUUGACGGGGGCCCGCACAAGCAGCGGAGCAUGUGGUUUAAUUCGAAGCAACGCGAAGAACCUUACCAGGUCUUGACAUCCUUUGACAACCUGAGAGAUCAGGCCUUCCCUUCGGGGACAAAGUGACAGAUGGUGCAUGGUUGUCGUCAGCUCGUGUCGUGAGAUGUUGGGUUAAGUCCCGCAACGAGCGCAACCCCUAUGUUUAGUUGCCAUCAUUAAGUUGGGCACUCUAGACAGACUGCCCGUGAAAGCGGGAGGAAGGUGGGGAUGACGUCAAAUCAUCAUGCCUCUUACGACCUGGGCUACACACGUGCUACAAUGGUCUGUACAGAGGGUAGCGAAGCCGUGAGGCGGAGCCAAUCUCAAAAAACAGACCUCAGUUCGGAUUGCAGGCUGCAACUCGCCUGCAUGAAGUCGGAGUUGCUAGUAAUCGCGGAUCAGAACGCCGCGGUGAAUGCGUUCCCGGGCCUUGUACACACCGCCCGU
RNAcentral lists this ribosomal RNA (496 nucleotides) under uncultured bacterium. RNAcentral describes it as "partial 16S ribosomal RNA". It matches the Rfam family "Bacterial small subunit ribosomal RNA", at positions 899 to 1397 of the family's 1533-position model. The record is from RNAcentral.